This 291-nucleotide small RNA is filed under the name Snodgrassella alvi. RNAcentral's name for it is "5' ureB small RNA". It matches the Rfam family "5' ureB small RNA". The record is from RNAcentral. Lineage: Bacteria; Pseudomonadati; Pseudomonadota; Betaproteobacteria; Neisseriales; Neisseriaceae.
UAAUCUGCUGCGGUGAAAUAAAGUGGAUAUGGGUAUCUAUUCCCCCGGCUGUGGCAAUCAGAUUGGCACCAUUAUGGACUUCGGUGGCCGCACCGAUAAUCAUGUUUGGUGUCACACCAUCCAUAGUAUCGGGAUUACCUGCCUGCCCAACGCCCACAAUUUUACCAUCACGAAUACCGAUAUCAGCUUUGACGAUUCCCCAGUAAUCCAUUAUCAGUACAUUGGUAAUCACCAUAUCCAACACAUUCUGGUUGCUGCGUGUGGCAGUAGCAGACUGCGCCAUACCAUCCC